RNAcentral lists this ribosomal RNA (397 nucleotides) under Cupedora sublorioliana. Its description in RNAcentral is "partial 16S ribosomal RNA". It matches the Rfam family "Archaeal large subunit ribosomal RNA", at positions 1900 to 2651 of the family's 2987-position model. Lineage: Eukaryota; Metazoa; Mollusca; Gastropoda; Stylommatophora; Camaenidae. The record is from RNAcentral.
CAAAAACAUAGCUAUGUGAUAUCACGGAUAGUAUUUUCUGCUCAAUGAGUCUUAAAUAGCCGCAGUACCCUGACUGUGCAAAGGUAGCGUAAUCAGUUGUCUUUUAAUUAAAGUCUUGUAUCAACGAACAUAUGGGGGCCCGCUUUACCAAUAAUAUUUAAUGAAUUUACUAAGGAAGUGAAAAUACUUCCCUGAUUUAAUAGACGAGAAGACCCUAGAAAUUUUUACUAAUGUUUUUGUUGGGGCAACAUAGUAACAUAAAACUUACUCUAUGGACAAGAAAAGAUUGUGGCAGAUAAAAUUACUCUAGGGAUAACAGCAUAAUGUAAAAUCGUUUGUGACCUCGAUGUUGGAUUAGGGAAUUAUAGCUUAAAAGGUAUUUAAUUUUGCUCUGUUC